Molecule: non-coding RNA, 83 nt
Organism: Ciona savignyi (Pacific transparent sea squirt)
Lineage: Eukaryota; Metazoa; Chordata; Ascidiacea; Phlebobranchia; Cionidae
Source: Rfam
GGUAGCAUGGCCGAGCGGUCUAAGGCGCUGGUUUAAGGCACCAGUCAUUUCGAUGGCGUGGAUCUCGAAUCCCACUGCUGCCA